GACGGCGGAUGCAAGCGUUAUCCGGAAUUAUUGGGCGUAAAGCGUCCGCAGGUGGCGAUUCAAGUCUGCUGUCAAAGGUCGGGGCUUAACCCCGGGAAGGCAGUGGAAACUGAAUAGCUAGAGUGCGGUAGGGGCAGAGGGAAUUCCCGGUGUAGCGGUGAAAUGCGUAGAGAUCGGGAAGAACACCAGUGGCGAAAGCGCUCUGCUGGGCCUGCACUGACACUGAGGGACGAAAGCUAUGAGAGCGAAAGGG
This 253-nucleotide ribosomal RNA is filed under the name uncultured bacterium. RNAcentral's name for it is "partial 16S ribosomal RNA". It matches the Rfam family "Bacterial small subunit ribosomal RNA", at positions 524 to 776 of the family's 1533-position model. The record is from RNAcentral.